Molecule: ribosomal RNA, 252 nt
Filed under: uncultured Lactobacillus sp.
Lineage: Bacteria; Bacillati; Bacillota; Bacilli; Lactobacillales; Lactobacillaceae
Description: partial 16S ribosomal RNA
Rfam family: Bacterial small subunit ribosomal RNA
Source: RNAcentral
UAACACGUGGGGAACCUGCCCCAUAGUCUGGGAUACCACUUGGAAACAGGUGCUAAUACCGGAUAAGAAAGCAGAUCGCAUGAUCAGCUUUUAAAAGGCGGCGUAAGCUGUCGCUAUGGGAUGGCCCCGCGGUGCAUUAGCUAGUUGGUAAGGUAAAGGCUUACCAAGGCGAUGAUGCAUAGCCGAGUUGAGAGACUGAUCGGCCACAUUGGGACUGAGACACGGCCCAAACUCCUACGGGAGGCAGCAGUU